RNAcentral lists this ribosomal RNA (468 nucleotides) under uncultured bacterium. RNAcentral's name for it is "partial 16S ribosomal RNA". It matches the Rfam family "Bacterial small subunit ribosomal RNA", at positions 28 to 507 of the family's 1533-position model. The record is from RNAcentral.
GACGAACGCUGGCGGCGUGCUUAACACAUGCAAGUCGAACGGAAAGGCCCUGCUUUUGUGGGGUGCUCGAGUGGCGAACGGGUGAGUAACACGUGAGUAACCUGCCCUUGACUUUGGGAUAACUUCAGGAAACUGGGGCUAAUACCGGAUAGGAGCUCCUGCUGCAUGGUGGGGGUUGGAAAGUUUCGGCGGUUGGGGCUGGACUCGCGGGUUACCAGCUUGUUGGUGGGGUAGUGGCUUACCAAGGCUUUGAGGGGUAGCCGGCCUGAGAGGGUGACCGGCCACAUGGGGACUGAGAUACGGCCCAGACGCCUACGGGAGGCAGCAGUGGGGAAUAUUGCACAAUGGGCGGAAGCCUGAUGCAGCAACGCCGCGUGCGGGAUGACGGCCUUCGGGUUGUAAACCGCUUUCGCCUGUGACGAAGCGUGAGUGACGGUAAUGGGUAAAGAAGCACCGGCUAACUACGUG